RNAcentral lists this ribosomal RNA (450 nucleotides) under uncultured Glomeromycotina. Its description in RNAcentral is "bacterial SSU rRNA". It matches the Rfam family "Eukaryotic small subunit ribosomal RNA", at positions 569 to 1020 of the family's 1831-position model. Lineage: Eukaryota; Fungi; Glomeromycota. The record is from RNAcentral.
AGCAGCCGCGGUAAUUCCAGCUCCAAUAGCGUAUAUUAAAGUUGUUGCAGUUAAAAAGCUCGUAGUUGAACCUUAGGCCCGUGCGGGUGGUCCGUCCUCUGGGCGAGCACUGCGUCGUCGCGGGUCUCACCUUCUGGCGAGCGUGGAUGCCAUUCACUUGGUGUCCGCGGGAACCAGGACCUUUACCUUGAAAAAAUUAGAGUGCUCAAAGCGGGCUCGUACGCUUGAAUACAUUAGCAUGGAAUAAUGAAAUAGGACGACGGUUCUAUUUUGUUGGUUUCCGGGACAGUCGUAAUGAUUAAUAGGGAUAGUUGGGGGCAUUCGUAUUCAAUUGUCAGAGGUGAAAUUCUUGGAUUUAUUGAAGACGAACUACUGCGAAAGCAUUUGCCAAGGAUGUUUUCAUUAAUCAAGAACGAAAGUUGGGGGAUCGAAGACGAUCAGAUACCGUCG